CCAGCCGCCGCGGUAACACCGGCGGCCCGAGUGGUGAUCGUGAUUAUUGGGUCUAAAGGGUCCGUAGCCGGUUUGGUCAGUCCUCCGGGAAAUCUGAUAGCUCAACUAUUAGGCUUUCGGGGGAUACUGCCAGACUUGGAACCGGGAGAGGUAAGAGGUACUACAGGGGUAGGAGUGAAAUCUUGUAAUCCCUGUGGGACCACCUGUGGCGAAGGCGUCUUACCAGAACGGGUUCGACGGUGAGGGACGAAAGCUGGGGGCACGAACCGGAUUAGAUACCCGGGUAGUCCCAGCCGUAAACGAUGCUCGCUAGGUGUCAGGCAUGGCGCGACCGUGUCUGGUGCCGCAGGGAAGCCGUGAAGCGAGCCACCUGGGAAGUACGGCCGCAAGGCUGAAACUUAAAGGAAUUGGCGGGGGAGCACAACAACGGGUGGAGCCCUGCGGUUUAAUUGGACUCAACGCCGGACAACUCACCGGGGGCGACAGCAAUAUGUAGGCCAAGCUGAAGACCUUUGCCUGAAUCGCUGAGAAGUGGUGCAUGG
RNAcentral lists this ribosomal RNA (542 nucleotides) under uncultured archaeon. Its description in RNAcentral is "bacterial SSU rRNA". It matches the Rfam family "Archaeal small subunit ribosomal RNA", at positions 458 to 997 of the family's 1478-position model. The record is from RNAcentral.